This 73-nucleotide transfer RNA is filed under the name Haptophyceae sp. NIES-3900. RNAcentral's name for it is "tRNA-Met". It matches the Rfam family "tRNA". From Rfam's summary of the family: Transfer RNA (tRNA) molecules are approximately 80 nucleotides in length. Their secondary structure includes four short double-helical elements and three loops (D, anti-codon, and T loops). Further hydrogen bonds mediate the characteristic L-shaped molecular structure. tRNAs have two regions of fundamental functional importance: the anti-codon, which is responsible for specific mRNA codon recognition, and the 3' end, to which the tRNAs corresponding amino acid is attached (by aminoacyl-tRNA synthetases). tRNAs cope with the degeneracy of the genetic code in two manners: having more than one tRNA (with a specific anti-codon) for a particular amino acid; and 'wobble' base-pairing, i.e. permitting non-standard base-pairing at the 3rd anti-codon position. Lineage: Eukaryota; Haptophyta. The record is from RNAcentral.
GGCUCAGUAGCUCAGUGGUUAGAGCAGAGGACUCAUAAGCCUAAGGUCGUAGGUUCAAAUCCCACCUGAGUCA